RNAcentral lists this ribosomal RNA (460 nucleotides) under uncultured bacterium. RNAcentral's name for it is "partial 16S ribosomal RNA". It matches the Rfam family "Bacterial small subunit ribosomal RNA", at positions 338 to 795 of the family's 1533-position model. The record is from RNAcentral.
CCUACGGGAGGCAGCAGUGAGGAAUAUUGGUCAAUGGACGAGAGUCUGAACCAGCCAAGUAGCGUGAAGGAUGACUGCCCUAUGGGUUGUAAACUUCUUUUAUAAAGGAAUAAAACGAGGCACGUGUGCCUUUUUGCAUGUACUUUAUGAAUAAGGAUCGGCUAACUCCGUGCCAGCAGCCGCGGUAAUACGGAGGAUCCGAGCGUUAUCCGGAUUUAUUGGGUUUAAAGGGAGCGUAGAUGGGUUGUUAAGUCAGUUGUGAAAGUUUGCGGCUCAACCGUAAAAUUGCAAUUGAUACUGGCAGUCUUGAGUACAGUUGAGGUAGGCGGAAUUCGUGGUGUAGCGGUGAAAUGCUUAGAUAUCACGAAGAACUCCGAUUGCGAAGGCAGCGUACUAAACUGCCACUGACAUUGAUGCUCGAAAGCGUGGGUAUCAAACAGGAUUAGAUACCCUGGUAGUC